This 253-nucleotide ribosomal RNA is filed under the name uncultured bacterium. RNAcentral describes it as "partial 16S ribosomal RNA". It matches the Rfam family "Bacterial small subunit ribosomal RNA", at positions 524 to 776 of the family's 1533-position model. The record is from RNAcentral.
UACGAAGGGGGCUAGCGUUGCUCGGAAUCACUGGGCGUAAAGGGUGCGUAGGCGGGUCUUUAAGUCAGGGGUGAAAUCCUGGAGCUCAACUCCAGAACUGCCUUUGAUACUGAGGAUCUUGAGUUCGGGAGAGGUGAGUGGAACUGCGAGUGUAGAGGUGAAAUUCGUAGAUAUUGGGAAGAACACCGGUGGCGAAGGCGGCGACCUGGUCCGACACUGACGCUGAGGCGCGAAAGCGUGGGGAGCAAACAGG